Molecule: long non-coding RNA, 9662 nt
Filed under: Citrus x clementina
Lineage: Eukaryota; Viridiplantae; Streptophyta; Magnoliopsida; Sapindales; Rutaceae
Description: Citrus clementina (C. clementina) long non-coding RNA (CCLE_LNC004694)
Source: RNAcentral
GCCCUUAUCAGUUGUAUAAACGACCUAGCUCCUUUACCCGCAGUAUCCGCACCCUUAUCUCUACCAGACGCCCUCACCCUAAAGAAUACAUCCAGUCUUCCCGCCUGGAUCAGUGUGCUCUUCAAGCCACCUCUGCUGAGCAAUAUGUCACUCUGGAGAUUCCCUCCGAGUUGCUCUCCAACUGGAAACGAGAAGGUUAUACUCAUCUCCACCUUGGCGGCAUCAGAUUAAUCCUUACCCUUCAUGGGAGAAAAGGAUUACCGGUUACCGCUCGACUUGCUAUGCUUGAUACCCGGUUUAAACAGUACCAAGAUGCUGUUAUCGGUACUGUUCUCACAACCCUUCAUGCAGGAAGUGUUUUACUCACUUUCUAUCCCAAUUUCAAUCUUUCUCUCCAAGACCCCAAUUUGCCCACAACCUUGAAAGUCCAAGUUCAGAUUCAAGGUGCUGAACAAAUUUCUUCUGCAAAAAUUGCCACUUUACAUCACCAACUGGUCUACAGGCUUCAAAAUCAUGCCUUAGAUCUACCCGCUCCAGAACACCACUCUGACACCCUCAUGGUGUUAGCAGAAUCUGACCAGAUCCCGACAAUCAUCCAGAUUCCCCGACAAAUUCCCCGUCAUGAGCUCAUCAAGCUUAUGCCUCUUGAAUGGAUCUCCAACUAUGAACAGUUCCACAACAAUACAGCUCCAAUUCAGACCUCUGACGGCAUGUUUGAAAGACGACAUGAUGGAACAGUCAGAAUGACUUUUAAACCACCCCCCAGUGCUCCACAAGAGCCUCCUAGGCUCUCCUUUACCUAUUCUUCAAUGAUCACAGCUGUUCAGACAGCGCAGGAAGAUCUGCCCAUUACAGGGUUUAAUUCUCAAGGCUACCCUGUUUAUCCAGCCAAACACAAUGGCCAUUUCCUAUGGGAUGCCCCUGGUUCCGGCAUGUGUGACCCAAAUUGUCCCUGCUGGGAUGAUUGGGAAGAAGACGAUGAUUACGCAACCACAAGGAAAAAGAAACCCAAAAAGAAAAAACCUCCUGUUCCAUGUCACCACUGUGACCCUAAACCACCAUCAGAUCCUCCACCUCCACCGGCUCCAUUACCCAUCUACCGAAAAGAACUCACAUGGAUUGCCAAACAUUGCAAAUCUGAGAUUCCAUCACCACUCUCACACCCAACACCUAUCGUCCAACCACUGGCUUGUAUGAUGUUUUCCUCUACUUCUUCAGAUUACUCUUCCUUUCCUCCUUUGGAACCCCAUACAGAUUCUCAACGAAAUGUUGUGUCCAAACCCUUUAUCCCUUCCCCUAUUACCUCCACUGGCCACCUAGAACCUCCCAAACCUUUUGAAUCAGUCCUCAACUGGCAAACCCAAAAUGCUAGAGCACAGAAUGAUACUUUGGUCAAUAUCAAUUCCAAAGUUGAGAAAAUCAGUUUACGAACUGACCAGCUUGAGACAAAGGUUGACUCCAUCUCUGCACAGAUGCAGCAGAUCCACCAAAAUCUCCAGUCCAGAAUUGGCCAACUCGAUUCAGAGUUACGAGCCAUGCUAGCCCACAGAUACAAUGGUCCCGAAUUUGACCAAAAGGAAAGGGAAAUCAGGCGAUUAAAAGCUGAACUUGCUCAGAUUGAAUCUGAAAAACAGAGACCUACCCUUUUCACCAGUUCACCUCUUAUUCCUUCUAUCGGUCCAACUUACCAUCCUUUUGCCUCUAUGCUCUCUCCUAUUAAACAAUAUGACCCUUCCAAGUUAUUUGGCAUGACUCAUACUCUUUUCAGAGACAAUCCUUUGCCACCGCCACCUAAACCUAAACCCAAACCUAGACCGCAGCCUCGACCUCCCCCUCUUCAUCCUUCCUCUCUGACCAUCCCUGGCCAACCAUCUCCUACUUUUACACCGACCUCACCACCAGCUCCUUUAUCAGUCCCUGCCCAAUCAAAAGAUAAAGAACCCAUGAACCAAUUUACUGCUCACGCAGUCAUCCAUUCAUCUACUGACGAUCAAACUUCUGCUUCAAAUCUAGCUGUUUCAGAUAGCCAUACCGAAACCGACUCAGAAUCUUCAGCAUCCACCAGUGACUCUGAAAAGUCCUAUGCUGAUAUUACCAAAAUCCUGAUGGCUCAACCUGAUCAAGGCCAAACCUCUCAUACAGAACCAUAUGUUGAUAUUCCCUCCGAAGUUGAAGACGAAAUGCCUGAAUCUUCUGCCACAAACCAACCUUCUCCAGCCCAGCCCAAUCCACCCAGUCAAAAAUCGUCAAAUGGUCCAUGGUUCACAUUUGAUGAUCUUCCAUCUCAUAAAUGGCGUGACCGACUCAAUGAAAUGUCUGCCUGGAUUGACCUGCAGAUGCUAAGAACAGGAGCAACAACUCAAUCAGUCCUUAGAGAAUUUGCUACUCGUUUUACGGGUGCUCUAAGAGAUUGGUUUGAUUCGUUAGGACAAUAUCGCCAGUUACAGUUUGUUGACCUUCCAGAAGUUUCAAGUGCUCUUGCUGUACUUCAUGAUCAAUUCCUUGGCGACCCUUCUGCAGUCUUUGAAGCUGCCAGACGAGACUACCUCAACAUGAAAUGCUGCUCCCUCAAUGCUAAGGAUCUUGACUUCCAUUAUAAGCGAAUGUCCCUGCUGUUCUAUAAGCUUAAUGGAUUCAAUGAGCCGACAUUAAAGCAUGUCUUUCUGGCUUCCCUCCCCGAAGAACUCCAACCUGACAUCCAGAGACAACUUACAGCAUCCAAUCUUUCCCUAGACAACAUCUCCCUUGGCAAAAUCUUCCAGCUUGCCAAAACCUGUCUUGACAAACUUUGCGAGCAAAAACAGUUUUUCAAAGAACUGUUGAAAGACAAAGAACCUUUCCGCAGUGCUUGCAAAAAGCCUUAUUUACAGAUCAAAUGCCACAAGAAAAAGGAUUGCGAUUGCAGUUCAAAGAAAAAACGGCAUUUUCGGAAAUUCAAAACUCCAGAAUUUUCAUCCAAACCUCGCAGAUCCCGAAAGCCCUACCGGUUCUUCCGAAAGAAAUCUUCCUCCUCCAGAGAAUUCAAACGAAAGCAAUCAAGCAGAUGUUUCAUCUGCAAGAGAAAAGGCCACUAUGCCAAAGAUUGUCCCAACAAAAGAGAAAAGGCCAUCCGGUUGGUUGAACAUCUUCAAGCAACCACAGACUACUCUCCUGCCAAAGAUGAAUUGGAAUUCUAUUUCUCUGAACAAGAUGAACCCAACGAUGAAACAGUGUUCGCACUACAAAAUUCCUCUGACUCAGAUAGUGACCAGUCUCAAGUGAUUUUCCACCAACAGUUACUCUCCCUUGAUACUACAGUUCCUAUCCCAUCCAUCAAACUCCAGAUCUUGCCCUCAAAAUUCCAAAGGCCCAUUCCAGCAAUUGGUCUUAUAGAUACUGGUGCCCAACGAAGCAUGUUGAACCCCCAUAUUCUUCCACCAGAAUAUUGGACCCAGUCUGAAGAACAUUUCAAAGCUGUCAAUGGCAAACUCUUCACCACCUCUUUGAUUACCAAAAAAUCCAUUGGUAUUCAAAUCUUCCCAAAUUGUGUCAUUUGGACCAAGGUUAUUGGUUCCACUCUUCCUAAUAAGGAUAUCUUAUUAGGAUUUGACAUCCUUCACCAAAUCAAACACCUCCAAAUCAUUCCCACUGGAAUCCGAGUCAAGUCCAUGUUCAAACCAUUCACAAACAUUCUGAAACUCUACAAUUUGUCUGAAACUCCCCAGUCUUACCAGGAUAUUUCAACCAAACUUUUGAGUUUCUGUCCAGAGUCCCAUUCUGAGUUCACCCAUCCAAAUCCAUUGUGGAAAAAUAAGUCUUUCUUCAUUAAGUUACCCUUCAAACUCAAUGAAGACAUUAACCCAACUAAAGCUACCCAUCCAGGAAUGAGUCCUUCUGACUUACUCCUAGCCCAACAAGAAUGUUCACAAUUGUUGGCCCAAGGUUUAAUUGAGCCCACAAGUUCCCAAUGGGCUUGCCAAGCCUUUUAUGUUGAAAAGCAUUCUGAAAUUGUCCGAGGAAAGAAACGCCUAGUCAUUGACUACCAGCCAUUAAACAUGUUUUUACAAGAUGACAAAUUCCCUUUACCUCGCCGACAAAGCAUGUUCACUUUUCUUAAAAAUGCCCAGAUCUUUUCAAAAUUUGAUUUAAAAUCUGGUUUUUGGCAACUCGGCAUUGAACCCUCCGAACGUUACAAAACCGCUUUUUGUAUUCCCAAUGCCCAUUUCCAAUGGACCGUCCUACCCUUUGGCCUCAAAACUGCCCCCUCCAUUUUCCAAAAAUCCAUGGUCCAAAUCUUCCAGCCCAUUUUGCAUCAUGCAUUGAUUUACAUUGACGAUAUUUUGCUUUUUUCAGGAUCGCAUGAAGAACAUCGCAACCUAUUGUCCCAAUUCUAUGAUAUUAUCCAAAGUCAUGGAAUCAUGUUAUCAGCCAAGAAAAGCACCAUUGCUACAGAUAAUAUUGAAUUCCUUGGUAUGAUCAUUAAAGAUGGACACUACCAGCCAGGAAAGCACAUUGCCCAAGAAUUGCUUCACUUUCCAGAUCAGCAACUUUCCAAAAGGCAAAUCCAACAGUUUCUCGGCAUUAUCAAUUACAUCCGUGAUUUCCUCCCACAUGUGGACCAUCACACUCAUCAUCUCUCAGCUUUAUUGAAAAAGCAGCCCCCAGAAUGGAAUGCUGACCACACACGUGCUGUCACUACUCUCAAGCAGAUUGCGCAAAAUCCGCCUCCUUUAAAGUUGCUUACUGAUGGCAAGCGCAUAUUACAGACAGACGCAAGUGAUGAAUCAUGGGGUGCCAUCCUCCUCGAAGAACUCAAUGACAAGGAACACUUUAUCGCUUACGCUAGUGGACAUUUUUCUGAAACACAGAAGCACUACCAUAGCGUGUUUAAAGAAAUCUUAGCGGUAAAGAAUGGCAUCAAAAAGUUUGAGUAUCAUCUGAUUGGACACCAUUUUCUCAUCCGAAUGGACAGCUCAGCCUUCCCCAAUAUCUUUCAUUUCAAAGGUAAAACUGUUCCCGAAAAAAUGUUACUCAGAUUAAAAGAUUGGUUUUCCAAAUAUGACUUUUCAGUCAAGCAUAUAAAGGGAUCCCAGAACCUCAUCCCUGAUAUGCUCUCCAGACUCUCUAAACCACAAGGCCCUCUCACCCUGUUUUCCACCACCUACCAUUUUCCAAUUAUCUCCAUGGCUACCUCACUACCCCCAGAAGCUCUCACCAAGAAAACUUUUCCCUUCAACAAAACCUUCUCUUCUGUUUUUAUCCAAGAAUUUGCAAGAAAAGCUCUCUUUCGCUUUUUCAUGAAAGCCUACCUUGUCACCGACCCUUUUCCUUUUUCCACUUUCCACCCAGAAAAUCUGUUCCUUACAGGUUUAACCCUUGAUCCGACCAGAGACACCACUGAAGACGUGUUAUGGUACAUCUGGUGCCUAACAGUCCUUUACGCAACCAAGUUAGUCCUCCCCAUUUCUCCCACUCUGGACCACCUCCUUAAUCCAGAUAACGCCACCUCCCUUACCUGGACCCUACUUGAAUGGUUCUCCCCCAUCCCAUGGUGGAGAAUGAAACUGCAACAACUGUCCGAAAUUUACAACCUUGACCGUAUGCCUGCCCCUGAAGCACAAAUGUUCACAUCAGUUUUUAUUAUUCACAGGCCAUACUUCCAACAUCCAGACACCCAUCUCUUUUGGACUCAAGAUCAGGUAUAUGAAUGGUUCACUGCACCACAUAUAGCUGUGAUUGAAAAUGACAUACAAGACGUCCUGCACAAUUACCUUUGCCAAUUAAACCACCAACCUCCGCCACUUAAAGAUAUCUCUCACACCUCCUUAGGUCCACAACAUGACCUUCUCAUGAUACCCACUCCAUCUGCCAUAUCUAAACCUAAGUCCACUGGCAUCAUCAUCAAAGAAGAACGACCAGACUACACUGACUUCCUUUAUCAAGACUCACAAGAUCCAUGGGAAGAUUUUCUUCCUCUAAGCCAACACCUCCACCAGUUUCCCCAACCAACAAUGGAUGAACCUGGCCCCUCCGUACUCCGUACCAGGACCCUCAACCCAAUCUUCCAAACAACCAUCCAAAGUUGACAAAGCCACCCAAACUUCCCCUAAGUAUACUCCGAAGUGUACUCCCAGAGACUAUAAUUGCCCUUAUCCACCAUGCCGUGGUCCCUCCUGUAAGCAUCCAAAGCUCUCCAAAACUUUCUUCCAAAAGCAUCCUCACUCUGGUGAUACGGACCCAGAUGAGACCGAAAGCUCAUCCGAAGACGAGUACAUGAAUCUCCGCUCUCCAUAAAGUUGUUUGUCUUGUUGCUUUCAAUAAAGUAGUUUGUCUUGUUGUCAUAAUGAUGUUUCGCUAUUAAAGUUUGUUUUUACUUUAAUACUUUUGUCCAAGUCAUGCUUUAAUUAUUAAAGCACUAAUUAUUAAAGCACUUUUGUCUUUUGUAAUAAUUAAAGUCGUGCAAUUAUGUAAAAGAUAGGGGUCCUGUCCUAUCUUCUCACGAAUCCUCCUCUAUAUAAAGGAUUCUCCCCUUGCUUGUAAGAUAUAGAAGUUUAAGGAUUCUCCCCUUGCUUGUAAGAUAUAGAAGUUUGAAAGAAAUAAACUCGUGUUUUUCUCUUACACCCUAAGAAAGAAACAGAAUAAAGAAUUAAAUUUGUUCAUUUUGAAAACCUAAGGAAGUAUGCUCUGCACUUGCCUUUUCAAAUGUUUUAAAGGUUUUUGAUUACAGAGGUAUAUCGGCUGGAAACCCGAGCUUGCGGACUACUGGAAAGAAGUCUGUUUUGGGUUGUAUAACCCGAGAAAAAUGUUUUAAAAGUUUUGCGAAAGUAUAUCGGCUGGAAACCCGAGCUUGCGGACUACUGGUCCAAAGAACAGUUUUAACUGUUGUAGUUCUGGUAUAACAACGCCACGUACUUCACCAUAACUGGUAUCAGAGCCAUACCCAUCCUUGAAAAUUUCAUGUUUUCUAAAUUCACGAUUUCUUGCCCAAAAUGGUAUAAUUUAAGGCUUUUUCUAUUUUGAUCUCUAGAACUUCAGGCGCAGAGAGAACUUCUCCUUCAUGGCAUCCACUUCCUCUUCACCUCCUGUUACUCUUUCUUCCACCCUUUCUUUACCGAAAUCUUGCACUUCUCAUACUACUAAUAAAAUUGAAAAUCUUGUAGAAUACUCCUACAUCCCUGAAUCCGCCCAAAUCAGUGAAUCUUCUUACCCUCUCCUCAGCCCUUAUCAGUUGUAUAAACGACCUAGCUCCUUUACCCGCAGUAUCCGCACCCUUAUCUCUACCAGACGCCCUCACCCUAAAGAAUACAUCCAGUCUUCCCGCCUGGAUCAGUGUGCUCUUCAAGCCACCUCUGCUGAGCAAUAUGUCACUCUGGAGAUUCCCUCCGAGUUGCUCUCCAACUGGAAACGAGAAGGUUAUACUCAUCUCCACCUUGGCGGCAUCAGAUUAAUCCUUACCCUUCAUGGGAGAAAAGGAUUACCGGUUACCGCUCGACUUGCUAUGCUUGAUACCCGGUUUAAACAGUACCAAGAUGCUGUUAUCGGUACUGUCCUCACAACCCUUCAUGCAGGAAGUGUUUUACUCACUUUCUAUCCCAAUUUCAAUCUUUCUCUCCAAGACCCCAAUUUGCCCACAACCUUGAAAGUCCAAGUUCAGAUUCAAGGUGCUGAACAAAUUUCUUCUGCAAAAAUUGCCACUUUACAUCACCAACUGGUCUACAGGCUUCAAAAUCAUGCCUUAGAUCUACCCGCUCCAGAACACCACUCUGACACCCUCAUGGUGUUAGCAGAAUCUGACCAGAUCCCGACAAUCAUCCAGAUUCCCCGACAAAUUCCCCGUCAUGAGCUCAUCAAGCUUAUGCCUCUUGAAUGGAUCUCCAACUAUGAACAGUUCCACAACAAUACAGCUCCAAUUCAGACCUCUGACGGCAUGUUUGAAAGACGACAUGAUGGAACAGUCAGAAUGACUUUUAAACCACCCCCCAGUGCUCCACAAGAGCCUCCUAGGCUCUCCUUUACCUAUUCUUCAAUGAUCACAGCUGUUCAGACAGCGCAGGAAGAUCUGCCCAUUACAGGGUUUAAUUCUCAAGGCUACCCUGUUUAUCCAGCCAAACACAAUGGCCAUUUCCUAUGGGAUGCCCCUGGUUCCGGCAUGUGUGACCCAAAUUGUCCCUGCUGGGAUGAUUGGGAAGAAGACGAUGAUUACGCAACCACAAGGAAAAAGAAACCCAAAAAGAAAAAACCUCCUGUUCCAUGUCACCACUGUGACCCUAAACCACCAUCAGAUCCUCCACCUCCACCGGCUCCAUUACCCAUCUACCGAAAAGAACUCACAUGGAUUGCCAAACAUUGCAAAUCUGCGAUUCCAUCACCACUCUCACACCCAACACCUACCGUCCAACCACUGGCUUGUAUGAUGUUUUCCUCUACUUCUUCAGAUUACUCUUCCUUUCCUCCUUUGGAACCCCAUACAGAUUCUCAACGAAAUGUUGUGUCCAAACCCUUUAUCCCUUCCCCUAUUACCUCCACUGGCCACCUAGAACCUCCCAAACCUUUUGAAUCAGUCCUCAACUGGCAAACCCAAAAUGCUAGAGCACAGAAUGAUACUUUGGUCAAUAUCAAUUCCAAAGUUGAGAAAAUCAGUUUACGAACUGACCAGCUUGAGACAAAGGUUGACUCCAUCUCUGCACAGAUGCAGCAGAUCCACCAAAAUCUCCAAUCCAGAAUUGGCCAACUCGAUUCAGAGUUACGAGCCAUGCUAGCCCACAGAUACAAUGGUCCCGAAUUUGACCAAAAGGAAAGGGAAAUCAGGCGAUUAAAAGCUGAACUUGCUCAGAUUGAAUCUGAAAAACAGAGACCUACCCUUUUCACCAGUUCACCUCUUAUUCCUUCUAUCGGUCCAACUUACCAUCCUUUUGCCUCUAUACUCUCUCCUAUUAAACAAUAUGACCCUUCCAAGUUAUUUGGCAUGACUCAUACUCUUUUCAGAGACAAUCCUUUGCCACCGCCACCUAAACCUAAACCCAAACCUAGACCGCAGCCUCGACCUCCCCCUCUUCAUCCUUCCUCUCUGACCACCCCUGGCCAACCAUCUCCUACUUUUACACCGACCUCACCACCAGCUCCUUUAUCAGUCCCUGCCCAAUCAAAAGAUAAAGAACCCAUGAACCAAUUUACUGCUCACGCAGUCAUCCAUUCAUCUACUGACGAUCAAACUUCUGCUUCAAAUCUAGCUGUUUCAGAUAGCCAUACCGAAACCGACUCAGAAUCUUCAGCAUCCACCAGUGACUCUGAAAAGUCCUAUGCUGAUAUUACCAAAAUCCUGAUGGCUCAACCUGAUCAAGGCCAAACCUCUCAUACAGAACCAUAUGUUGAUAUUCCCUCCGAAGUUGAAGACGAAAUGCCUGAAUCUUCUGCCACAAACCAACCUUCUCCAGCCCAGCCCAAUCCACCCAGUCAAAAAUCGUCAAAUGGUCCAUGGUUCACAUUUGAUGAUCUUCCAUCUCAUAAAUGGCGUGACCGACUCAAUGAAAUGUCUGCCUGGAUUGACCUGCAGAUGCUAAGAACAGGAGCAACAACUCAAUCAGUCCUUAGAGAAUUUGCUACUCGUUUUACGGGUGCUCUAAGAGAUUGGUUUGAUUCGUUAGGACAAUAUCGCCAGUUACAGUUUGUUGACCUUCCAGAAG